Long non-coding RNA from Vidua chalybeata, 1338 nucleotides. RefSeq lists it as uncharacterized. The transcript has 3 exons. Lineage: Eukaryota; Metazoa; Chordata; Aves; Passeriformes; Viduidae. The record is from RefSeq and is a predicted model, not a curated record.
AGGGCUGCGUGACAAACAUUGCUGUGAGCUCUAUGUCUACCAGAGGAUUUUCCGGGUCAUUCUUUCCUUUCUCAGCAGUCCUUUGUGUGACCAGGGCUCCCAGAGUCCUAUUCUGGAGAUACGACAGAGUGCUGCCCGUGUCACCUCUAGAGCUGCCCAUGAGCCGAUAGAGGAUCACAGCCUCCUCUCGUGGGUCCUGCACGGCUUAGAGAAAAGGACCUGCUGCACAGGAAGUGGCACAGUAAUGGAUUUGAGCUGUCUAGAACGUUACUUCUCCUCCCCUUGCCUCUCCCUGACAAAAAAAAUCUCUUCUGCAAGCACAGAGUGCCCUGACAGGUUCAGGCAAGUGCACCAAAAGUGCCCUAGAAUAUGGUCCCCCGUAGGAGAUGGACCAGCUGCUGGUGAGGAUCUGCCUUUCAAAUGUGGUUUUCUUUUCUUUUUUUUCUUUUUGUUCUGUUUCAUUUUGUUUUUCAGGUUUCUGGAGAACCAGGUGAUAAAUAAAAUGAUUUCCUUACUCCAUCCUUUGUGGCUAAUAAAUUUAGGAGACAAGAGAGAAAACAGGAAUCGAUCCCAGAUGCUGCUGUUGAGAUGGGUAUAUGAUCUACCUGUAUAUAGAUAUAUGCGUAUCUCUGUAUAUCUGUGUAGUGAUAAUAAUGGGAGUUUUUAUGAUACGUUGCUUUACUGUCUUCUAUUUUUAAUAAAGUGUGAUUUUAAGUUAUUAGGUAUAACAUUUUAUUCUGCUUAUUGGCUAAAGUAACAUUUUCUUGUAUUUUAUUGGUAUCAAGUCAUGUUAAUCAUUAAUUGGUAAGAGUUUAUAAUGAAUUAUUAAGGUGUGAAUAUUGUUCAUUAAGGUACGUCUUUUUUUACUGUAGGUAUUUUCAUGUGUUCGUAUGGGUUUUUAUGUUAAUGAUUUUGGGUUUUUGUGUUAUGAAUAUAUUAGUAUUUUAUUAGGGUUUUUUUGGUUAGUUUACUUGUUUGGUGUGUAGAUCACUCCUGUUAAGUAUGUUUAUCUAUAUAUGUUUUAAAAUGUAAGUUAUAAAUCUACUUGUUAAGGAUUUUUGUAGAGUUCUAUGUAAAAAUUUAAAUCGGUAGGGGAGAUAAAAAGCAGUAAUUAUUAAUAAGAUGAGUAUUUUAGUUUUUAAUAAUGAUUUAAGUUAUUCAGCGAUGUUUUAAUUUUUGAAAAUAUUAUUUAGUUAUUUUUUAUGUGUGAUUGAUUAAUUUUUAAAAAAAAAUUAGUAAUGUUUUUGUAAAUUGAUUUCUUGUGAUUUCAUCAAUUUAUAUAUUUUUAAAAAUGUUUUCUAUUUAUGAUUGUGUGUGAAUAAUAAAAAAUGAACAGUU